Castor canadensis (American beaver) is the source of this 276-nucleotide non-coding RNA. Lineage: Eukaryota; Metazoa; Chordata; Mammalia; Rodentia; Castoridae. The record is from RefSeq and is a predicted model, not a curated record.
AAAAAAGUUGGCAACUGCCCCGAAGAGAAGGAAGGAGGAAGUUAGUCACCCAUAAUUCCUGCACAGAGGCUUAGCUCCUGGCCAGUUGUCCCAUUGCUACCACCAGCAAGCAAGGUGGCUCCGCUUUUUCCUGGGCUGAAGUGGAUCUUUGCUCAACCCUCUUCUUGAAGGAGCUGGCCUUGACAGUGACUCUAAUCGGCAGCCGCCCAGAGUCUGAGCAUCCCGCUGAGCCCAGUAACUCCCAACCUGGCUGUGCCUGCACCAGAGGACUGCUCU